UUAACUCAAAUUUGUAUGGAGUUGGAACGUAUGUCUACGUUUGCCGCUAAGGUUUGUUCCCGCUGCAUAUAAAUUUGACAUA
This 82-nucleotide microRNA precursor is filed under the name Bombyx mori (domestic silkworm). Its description in RNAcentral is "mir-2807 microRNA precursor family". It matches the Rfam family "mir-2807 microRNA precursor family". The record is from Rfam by way of RNAcentral. Lineage: Eukaryota; Metazoa; Arthropoda; Insecta; Lepidoptera; Bombycidae.